CCUACGGGAGGCAGCAGUGAGGAAUAUUGGUCAAUGGACGAGAGUCUGAACCAGCCAAGUAGCGUGAAGGAUGACUGCCCUAUGGGUUGUAAACUUCUUUUAUAUGGGAAUAAAACGUUCCACGUGUGGGAUUUUGUAUGUACCAUAUGAAUAAGGAUCGGCUAACUCCGUGCCAGCAGCCGCGGUAAUACGGAGGAUCCGAGCGUUAUCCGGAUUUAUUGGGUUUAAAGGGAGCGUAGGUGGAUUGUUAAGUCAGUUGUGAAAGUUUGCGGCGCAACCGUAAAAUUGCAGUUGAAACUGGCAGUCUUGAGUACAGUAGAGGUGGGCGGAAUGCGUGGUGUAGCGGUGAAAUGCUUAGAUAUCACGAAGAACUCCGAUUGCGAAGGCAGUUCACUGGACUGCAACUGACACUGAGGCUCGAAAGUGUGGGUAUCAAACAGGAUUAGAUACCCCAGUAGUC
Molecule: ribosomal RNA, 460 nt
Filed under: uncultured bacterium
Lineage: Bacteria
Description: partial 16S ribosomal RNA
Rfam family: Bacterial small subunit ribosomal RNA
Source: RNAcentral